GCCCAUGUAUGUCAACAGACCGUCUGGAGCCGGCACAGCUCUGCAGCAAUGGAGCCGUGAUGAGCAGCUUUAGCCAGUGAUCCACAACCAGCCGGUGCUGCCCAACAACCCUGGAGGGAAGCCCAGAGUGGGUCAAAACCCCCAGAAAAGGGGCAAGAGAGAAGAAGAUGCAGAUGCCAGGGCGAUCAAUCCUGUCUAUUCCACGCCGCUCCCCUAGCUCCAUAGCCCAUCAGAGAGGAGGGAAGUACAUCUCGCAGGCUGUGGUGUACAGCGAAAUCCCCUCCUGAUCACGGCCUCUGCAACCAACCCAUCCCCGUCCCACCCCACACUGAGAACAUUUCGCAUAAUACCCCAUCCCCCUAACCUUCCCUUCCCUGCAAAACCUGCUA
Mauremys mutica (yellowpond turtle) is the source of this 389-nucleotide long non-coding RNA. RefSeq lists it as uncharacterized. Lineage: Eukaryota; Metazoa; Chordata; Testudines; Geoemydidae. The transcript has 3 exons. The record is from RefSeq and is a predicted model, not a curated record.